Molecule: transfer-messenger RNA, 386 nt
Filed under: Helicobacter pylori
Lineage: Bacteria; Pseudomonadati; Campylobacterota; Epsilonproteobacteria; Campylobacterales; Helicobacteraceae
Also listed under: 1 other name
Rfam family: transfer-messenger RNA
About the family: Bacterial tmRNA, also known as 10Sa RNA or SsrA, is named for its dual tRNA and mRNA-like properties. Its role is to liberate the mRNA from a stalled ribosome.
Source: RNAcentral
GGGGCUGACUUGGAUUUCGACAGAUUUCUUGUCGCACAGACAGCAUGCCAAGUGCUACUUGUAAAACAGCAACAAAAAUAACUGUAAACAACACAGAUUACGCUCCAGCUUACGCUAAAGUUGCGUGAGUUAAUCUCCUUUUGGAGCUGGACUGAUUAGAAUUUCUAGCGUUUUAAUCACUCCAUAACCUUAAGCUAGACGCUUUUAAAAGGUGGUUCGCCUUUUAAACUAAGAAACAAGAACUCUUGAAACUACCUCAAGGUUUUAGAAAGUUGGACCAGAGCUAGUUUUAAGGCUAAAAAAUUAACCAAUUUUCUAAGCAUUGUAGAAGUUUGUGUUUAGGACAAGAUUUUUGGACUGGGGUUCGAUUCCCCACAGCUCCACCA